AUGCUUCUAUUUGACAGACUUGGAGCAGUUACUAUUUGCUGCUAGGUUUUCCCCAAAGAUGCAAGAAAAAGUAUCUUCGUAUUUUCUGUCUGAUUAUGGCAGCUGAGGUUGAAUAGAGGAAUAAAGGA
Small nucleolar RNA from Vulpes vulpes (red fox), 128 nucleotides. Lineage: Eukaryota; Metazoa; Chordata; Mammalia; Carnivora; Canidae. The record is from Ensembl.